RNAcentral lists this ribosomal RNA (460 nucleotides) under uncultured bacterium. RNAcentral describes it as "partial 16S ribosomal RNA". It matches the Rfam family "Bacterial small subunit ribosomal RNA", at positions 338 to 795 of the family's 1533-position model. The record is from RNAcentral.
CCUACGGGUGGCAGCAGUGAGGAAUAUUGGUCAAUGGACGCAAGUCUGAACCAGCCAUGCCGCGUGCAGGAAGACGGCCCUAUGAGUUGUAAACUGCUUUUGUACGAGGGUAAACGCAGAUACGCGUAUCUGUCUGAAUGUAUCGUAUGAAUAAGGAUCGGCUAACUCCGUGCCAGCAGCCGCGGUAAUACGGAGGAUUCAAGCGUUAUCCGGAUUUAUUGGGUUUAAAGGGUGCGUAGGCGGUCGGAUAAGUUAGAGGUGAAAUCCCGAGGCUCAACUUCGGAAUUGCCUCUGAUACUGUGCGGCUAGAGAGUAGUUGAGGUAGGCGGAAUGUAUGGUGUAGCGGUGAAAUGCUUAGAGAUCAUACAGAACACCGAUUGCGAAGGCAGCUUACCAAGCUACUACUGACGUUGAGGCACGAAAGCGUGGGGAGCAAACAGGAUUAGAUACCCCAGUAGUC